RNAcentral lists this non-coding RNA (21 nucleotides) under Caenorhabditis elegans. Lineage: Eukaryota; Metazoa; Nematoda; Chromadorea; Rhabditida; Rhabditidae. The record is from RNAcentral.
UUUAAGGUAGUUAUUCUUCUA